RNAcentral lists this ribosomal RNA (253 nucleotides) under uncultured bacterium. RNAcentral describes it as "partial 16S ribosomal RNA". It matches the Rfam family "Bacterial small subunit ribosomal RNA", at positions 524 to 776 of the family's 1533-position model. The record is from RNAcentral.
UACGUAGGGUGCGAGCGUUGUCCGGAAUUAUUGGGCGUAAAGAGCUUGUAGGCGGUCUGUCGCGUCUGCCGUGAAAUCCCGGGGCUCAACCCCGGGCUUGCAGUGGAUACGGGCUGGCUAGAGGCAGGCAGGGGAGAACGGAAUUCCCGGUGUAGCGGUGAAAUGCGCAGAUAUCGGGAGGAACACCGGUGGCGAAGGCGGUUCUCUGGGCCUGUACUGACGCUGAGGAGCGAAAGCGUGGGGAGCGAACAGG